RNA transcript from Juglans regia (Persian walnut), 1479 nucleotides. It is a transcript of the gene named transcription termination factor MTEF1, chloroplastic, with no coding region annotated. The transcript has 3 exons. The record is from RefSeq and is a predicted model, not a curated record. Lineage: Eukaryota; Viridiplantae; Streptophyta; Magnoliopsida; Fagales; Juglandaceae.
UCCCCUCUGCUACUACUCAGCUCCUUCAAGGCUUCAACGACGAUGACCACACGGUCCCAUCUCCCAACUCAAACCUUCCUUCUCAUAUCUCAAUCCCCGAAACCAUCCAAAACUCCGUCCUCCUCCCUCUCUCUCCACAGGCAUUCUCUUCCCACCUCCACCUCCGACGCCGGCAUCCUUUUCCGCGAGAAAAUCGUCUACCUCGAGAACCUCAACGUCAAUUCCCACAAGGCCCUCCGACUGAACCCAAAUUUCCGCUCCACCCCUCUCUCCUCCCUCGUCUCCGUCGAGCACUGCCUCUUCUCAUUCGGUAUCGCCCGUUCAGCCAUUGGCCGCAUCCUCGACAUGCACCCCCAGCUUCUCACCUCCGACCCUCACUCUGACCUCUACCCCAUCUUCGAUUUCCUUCUCAACGAGGUCUCCAUCCCCUUCCUGGACCUCCCGAAGUCCAUUGUCCGAUGCCCCAGACUUUUGGUCUGCAGCGUGACAGACCAGCUGAGACCCGCCUUGUCUUUCUUGAGGGGCCUGGGCUUCGUCGGGCCCAAUUCCAUCACUUGCCAAACCACAUUGUUGUUGGUUUCCAGCGUCGAAGGUACCCUUUUGCCCAAGAUUCUGUUCUUACAGAGUUUGGGGCUUUCGUACGAGGAUGUGGUCAACAUGGUGCUGAGAUCACCUGGGUUGUUGACGUUUAGUAUAAGAAAUAAUUAUACGCCCAAGGUGAAGUAUUUCUUGGAGGAAAUGAAGGGGGACCUCAUGGAAUUGAAGAGGUUUCCGCAGUAUUUCUCGUUUAGUUUGGAGGGAAAGAUUAAGCCCAGGCAUAGACUUUUGGUCGAACACGGAUUUUCGCUUCCGUUGUCGGAGAUGUUAAAGGUUAGCGAUGGAGAGUUCAAUGCACGGUUGAUAGAGAUGAGGCUGCGGUCGGUCGAGGGCAGCUAAAAGAAUUUUGUUCAACUCUCUGGAGGGAGCAUAUUGUCAACUUUUGGGGUCAAGAAGAAUGGGAGCGAUUCUGGUAAUUAUGCACCUGCAGGGAGCUGCCUGUACAGGGGCCUAUCUUUCUGGUAUUCAAAUUUUCAGUUGUUGACGUGAUAAGGACGGGAUGUGCGUGGCAAAUCAUGUUUUUGGAAAGGCUGCUUUAGAGUUUAAACAAUGACCGUUACUUUUCUGCAUCCAGGUAUUAGUGGAAAUUGUUUCCAAAAGGAGUGCAUAACCAUGUGUUUGGGUCUCUUGUGGAACUGCUGGUCAUACCUAUUUCUGCAAUAUCCUGCAUAUAGCGUAAUCUUUAUUAUUGUUAUACUCUUAAGUCACCUCACAUUAAUUUGAAUUGCUCGGGUCAUUCUCUUGUUUUAUUUUAUAUGCGCCACUGCAUUAUGUCACAUAACGAAAUGUGGGAAAACCAUGGCCUCACCCUGUAGCGAACAGAGUUAUGUAAAUUUGAUACAAUAAAUAAUGUCGCCAAAUUUUAUUGGCUGGAUGGUCCUA